This is a long non-coding RNA of Lytechinus pictus (painted urchin), 1429 nucleotides long. RefSeq lists it as uncharacterized. The record is from RefSeq and is a predicted model, not a curated record. The transcript has 2 exons. NCBI's taxonomy places the organism in Eukaryota, Metazoa, Echinodermata, Echinoidea, Temnopleuroida, Toxopneustidae.
GCUAAAAAGAACCAAUGAAAUGCAUUGAAAGAAUUCAGGGACGUGCGCAAUACGCGACAGAUUUGGAAGCACAUGUUCAUUCUCAACUAAGCUCUGGGGGAUGCAAGACGUUAAUUCGUAGUUCGCUAUGAAACCGUUCUUGGAUCAUCAUAGUUUAGGCCUCACUUUAGCAGGCUAAUACAAACAAUUCAAGUACUAGUAUUGCUCAUCCCAGGUCACAGGGAUGUCAGGAUAAAAUGGAUCCCGGGAAAAUUAAUUCUCAGCGUUUUUAUCAACAUUAUGAAUGGCUAGCCGUCCAGAUCUCGCUGACGACACGCUGGUGGAGCUGCAGAGUGCAGUGAAGGGAUGGACGGAUACAACGCUGAAUUACCGAACCCCUACAGGGACUAUCUCAGUUAGGCCGGGAUCACCGUUCUCGUUAGAGGUCUAACGUUAGAUCGACCGCUAUUUGCCACGGUCUAUCGGUGAGACUGCAGAGUUGGAAUAUACAUCAGCUUCCACAGGAAUAAUAAGUACUUUCAGUCAAACGGAAGCUCUGACCAAUGCCGUGAAUGAGGAUAUUUGCCGGAGUUGUUCUCCUAUGAGUACAACUAGGCCGAUUGUCUUUUGAGGCUGUGCCUGUGAUAAAACUGCCGGCGAUGCUUCGAGUUCGAUGGAGCUGGAUCUAAUUGAUUGUUGAUGCGAAUGGAGUGGAGUUAGGGCCCGGACCACAGUGUAUAUAUCUUGACCCGGGACGUGGAGUCUGAAGUUAAUUGGCCAGGGCACAAAUGAUCAAGCCUAGACCCAGACUGAGGUACGAGGAGACUUAGCUAAGCUUGACCUGGACUAGUGUACGAAGGGACAGGGCUUAGACUUGGCUUACUAUGGUUCACAUUGGAUGACAGUGGUUGCAAAGGUUUUCACACUGCAAGAUGAGAAAUCCGGAUUCAUUUGAAGAUGCCGGAUUUAUGGUUUAACGUAAUGCUCUAAAUAGACGAGAGGUUGAGAAAUGCAGUGAUCAAGAUCCUUAAGUCCAGACUUGAAGAGGAAACAUGAAUAAUCUCGAAGUUGUUGAGAAGUAUAACCCUUUCGGAGAAAACUAAAAAACCUUGGAAAAAAGGGGCAUUAUGGGAACACCUUCAGUUCGUAUCUAUUUGCAAUUCUGGGCAGCCAGCAAAGUCGGUUGAAGCAUCGAUAACCAAGAAUAUAAACAAAAAAUGUGAGGCAUGUCCCUCUGGUGCAUUUAUGUGCUUAUAUAUGUCUCUUCCUUUAAGACAUAACCUCACCUGUUGUAAGAGGCGAUCUCAUAUAUGAAGCCAACUUGAAUGUGGGAAUGCACGCCUUGAUUUUUAUGCCCCCAUUUAACUUCAUUAAUCGAUGUGGAAUGGAUCUUAUUUGUUUCGAUUCACACUGGUGACCAAAAACGAAAAAAAAAAAAAAAAAAAAAUCC